UGUUUCGGCAAGGGGGUCAUCCCGACUUACCAACCCGAUGCAAACUGCGAAUACCGGAGAAUGUUAUCACGGGAGACACACGGCGGGUGCUAACGUCCGUCGUGAAGAGGGAAACAACCCAGACCGCCAGCUAAGGUCCCAAAGUCAUGGUUAAGUGGGAAACGAUGUGGGAAGGCCCAGACAGCCAGGAUGUUGGCUUAGAAGCAGCCAUCAUUUAAAGAAAGCGUAAUAGCUCACUGGUCGAGUCGGCCUGCGCGGAAGAUGUAACGGGGCUAAACCAUGCACCGAAGCUGCGGCAGCGACGCUUAUGCGUUGUUGGGUAGGGGAGCGUUCUGUAAGCCUGCGAAGGUGUACUGUGAGGUAUGCUGGAGGUAUCAGAAGUGCGAAUGCUGACAUAAGUAACGAUAAAGCGGGUGAAAAGCCCGCUCGCCGGAAGACCAAGGGUUCCUGUCCAACGUUAAUCGGGGCAGGGUGAGUCGACCCCUAAGGCGAGGCCGAAAGGCGUAGUCGAUGGGAAACAGGUUAAUAUUCCUGUACUUGGUGUUACUGCGAAGGGGGGACGGAGAAGGCUAUGUUGGCCGGGCGACGGUUGUCCCGGUUUAAGCGUGUAGGCUGAUUUUCCAGGUAAAUCCGGAAAAUCAAGGCUGAGGCGUGAUGACGAGGCACUACGGUGCUGAAGCAACAAAUGCCCUGCUUCCAGGAAAAGCCUCUAAGCAUCAGGUAACAUCAAAUCGUACCCCAAACCGACACAGGUGGUCAGGUAGAGAAUACCAAGGCGCUUGAGAGAACUCGGGUGAAGGAACUAGGCAAAAUGGUGCCGUAACUUCGGGAGAAGGCACGCUGAUACGUAGGUGAAGUCCCUUGCGGAUGGAGCUGAAAUCAGUCGAAGAUACCAGCUGGCUGCAACUGUUUAUUAAAAACACAGCACUGUGCAAACACGAAAGUGGACGUAUACGGUGUGACGCCUGCCCGGUGCCGGAAGGUUAAUUGAUGGGGUUAGCGGUAACGCGAAGCUCUUGAUCGAAGCCCCGGUAAACGGCGGCCGUAACUAUAACGGUCCUAAGGUAGCGAAAUUCCUUGUCGGGUAAGUUCCGACCUGCACGAAUGGCGUAAUGAUGGCCAGGCUGUCUCCACCCGAGACUCAGUGAAAUUGAACUCGCUGUGAAGAUGCAGUGUACCCGCGGCAAGACGGAAAGACCCCGUGAACCUUUACUAUAGCUUGACACUGAACAUUGAGCCUUGAUGUGUAGGAUAGGUGGGAGGCUUUGAAGUGUGGACGCCAGUCUGCAUGGAGCCGACCUUGAAAUACCACCCUUUAAUGUUUGAUGUUCUAACGUUGGCCCCUAAUCGGGGUUGCGGACAGUGUCUGGUGGGUAGUUUGACUGGGGCGGUCUCCUCCUAAAGAGUAACGGAGGAGCACGAAGGUUGGCUAAUCCUGGUCGGACAUCAGGAGGUUAGUGCAAUGGCAUAAGCCAGCUUGACUGCGAGCGUGACGGCGCGAGCAGGUGCGAAAGCAGGUCAUAGUGAUCCGGUGGUUCUGAAUGGAAGGGCCAUCGCUCAACGGAUAAAAGGUACUCCGGGGAUAACAGGCUGAUACCGCCCAAGAGUUCAUAUCGACGGCGGUGUUUGGCACCUCGAUGUCGGCUCAUCACAUCCUGGGGCUGAAGUAGGUCCCAAGGGUAUGGCUGUUCGCCAUUUAAAGUGGUACGCGAGCUGGGUUUAGAACGUCGUGAGACAGUUCGGUCCCUAUCUGCCGUGGGCGCUGGAGAACUGAGGGGGGCUGCUCCUAGUACGAGAGGACCGGAGUGGACGCAUCACUGGUGUUCGGGUUGUCAUGCCAAUGGCACUGCCCGGUAGCUAAAUGCGGAAGAGAUAAGUGCUGAAAGCAUCUAAGCACGAAACUUGCCCCGAGAUGAGUUCUCCCUGACUCCUUGAGAGUCCUGAAGGAACGUUGAAGACGACGACGUUGAUAGGCCGGGUGUGUAAGCGCAGCGAUGCGUUGAGCUAACCGGUACUAAUGAACCGUGAGGCUUAACCUUACAACGCCGAAG
RNAcentral lists this ribosomal RNA (2051 nucleotides) under Escherichia coli. RNAcentral's name for it is "partial 23S ribosomal RNA". It matches the Rfam family "Bacterial large subunit ribosomal RNA", at positions 911 to 2925 of the family's 2925-position model. Lineage: Bacteria; Pseudomonadati; Pseudomonadota; Gammaproteobacteria; Enterobacterales; Enterobacteriaceae. The record is from RNAcentral.